ACGAACGCUGGCGGCGUGCCUAAUACAUGCAAGUCGAACGAACUCUGGUAUUGAUUGGUGCUUGCAUCAUGAUUUACAUUUGAGUGAGUGGCGAACUGGUGAGUAACACGUGGGAAACCUGCCCAGAAGCGGGGGAUAACACCUGGAAACAGAUGCUAAUACCGCAUAACAACUUGGACCGCAUGGUCCGAGUUUGAAAGAUGGCUUCGGCUAUCACUUUUGGAUGGUCCCGCGGCGUAUUAGCUAGAUGGUGNGGUAACGGCUCACCAUGGCAAUGAUACGUAGCCGACCUGAGAGGGUAAUCGGCCACAUUGGGACUGAGACACGGCCCAAACUCCUACGGGAGGCAGCAGUAGGGAAUCUUCCACAAUGGACGAAAGUCUGAUGGAGCAACGCCGCGUGAGUGAAGAAGGGUUUCGGCUCGUAAAACUCUGUUGUUAAAGAAGAACAUAUCUGAGAGUAACUGUUCAGGUAUUGACGGUAUUUAACCAGAAAGCCACGGCUAACUACGUGCCAGCAGCCGCGGUAAUACGUAGGUGGCAAGCGUUGUCCGGAUUUAUUGGGCGUAAAGCGAGCGCAGGCGGUUUUUUAAGUCUGAUGUGAAAGCCUUCGGCUCAACCGAAGAAGUGCAUCGGAAACUGGGAAACUUGAGUGCAGAAGAGGACAGUGGAACUCCAUGUGUAGCGGUGAAAUGCGUAGAUAUAUGGAAGAACACCAGUGGCGAAGGCGGCUGUCUGGUCUGUAACUGACGCUGAGGCUCGAAAGUAUGGGUAGCAAACAGGAUUAGAUACCCUGGUAGUCCAUACCGUAAACGAUGAAUGCUAAGUGUUGGAGGGUUUCCGCCCUUCAGUGCUGCAGCUAACGCAUUAAGCAUUCCGCCUGGGGAGUACGGCCGCAAGGCUGAAACUCAAAGGAAUUGACGGGGGCCCGCACAAGCGGUGGAGCAUGUGGUUUAAUUCGAAGCUACGCGAAGAACCUUACCAGGUCUUGACAUACUAUGCAAAUCUAAGAGAUUAGACGUUCCCUUCGGGGACAUGGAUACAGGUGGUGCAUGGUUGUCGUCAGCUCGUGUCGUGAGAUGUUGGGUUAAGUCCCGCAACGAGCGCAACCCUUAUUAUCAGUUGCCAGCAUUAAGUUGGGCACUCUGGUGAGACUGCCGGUGACAAACCGGAGGAAGGUGGGGAUGACGUCAAAUCAUCAUGCCCCUUAUGACCUGGGCUACACACGUGCUACAAUGGAUGGUACAACGAGUUGCGAACUCGCGAGAGUAAGCUAAUCUCUUAAAGCCAUUCUCAGUUCGGAUUGUAGGCUGCAACUCGCCUACAUGAAGUCGGAAUCGCUAGUAAUCGCGGAUCAGCAUGCCGCGGUGAAUACGUUCCCGGGCCUUGUACACACCGCCCGUCACACCAUGAGAGUUUGUAACACCCAAAGUCGGUGGGGUAACCUUUUAGGAACCAGCCGCCUAAGGUGGGACAGAUGAUUAGGGUGAAGUCGUAACAAGGUAGCCGUAGGAGAACCUGC
Molecule: ribosomal RNA, 1521 nt
Filed under: Lactobacillus sp. MR-1
Lineage: Bacteria; Bacillati; Bacillota; Bacilli; Lactobacillales; Lactobacillaceae
Description: 16S ribosomal RNA
Rfam family: Bacterial small subunit ribosomal RNA
Source: RNAcentral